UCAACUGUCGACUGUGGCAUAGACGCCCACAGUGGUUUUGACGGGUAACGGGGAAUCAGGGUUCGAUUCCGGAGAGGGAGCCUUAAAAACGGCUACCACAUCUAAGGAAGGCAGCAGGCACGCAAAUUACCCAAUGACCGAAGGUCGAGGUAGUGACGAAAAAUAACGAUAGAGGACUCAUCCGAGGCCCUCUAAUUGGAAUGAGUACACUUUAAAACCGUCCCCGAGGAUCUAUUGGAGGGCAAGUCUAGUGCCAGCAGCCGCGGUAAUUCCAGCUCCAAUAGCGUAUAUUAAAGUUGUUGUGGUUAAAAAGCUCGUAGUUGGAUCUCAACAGCCUUGAAGCGGUUAACUUUGUAGUUUUACUGCUUUAUAGGCUGUGCUUUUGCUGGAGGUUUAGGGGUGCUCUUGAUCGAGUGUCUCUGGAUGCCAGCAGGUUUACUUUGAAAAAAUUAGAGUGCUCAAAGCAGGCUAAAAUGCCUGAAUAUUCGUGCAUGGAAUAAUAGAAUAGGAUGUCGAUCCUAUUUUGUUGGUUUUCGGGACUCGACAUAAUGAUAAAUAGGGACAGUCGGGGGCAUUUGUAUUCAAACGACAGAGGUGAAAUUCUUGGACCGUUUGAAGGCAAACUACUGCGAAAGCAUUUGCCAAGAAUGUUUUCAUUAAUCAAGAACGAAAGUUAGAGGUUCGAAGGCGAUUAGAUACCGCCCUAGUUCUAACCAUAAACGAUGCCAGCUAGCGAUCUGCCUGCGUUUUUACUGUAGACUGGGCAGGAAGCUUCCGGGAAACCAAAGCAUUUGGGUUCCAGGGGAAGUAUGGUUGCAAAGCUGAAACUUAAAGGAAUUGACGGAAGGGCACCACCAGGAGUGGAGCCUGUGGCUUAAUUUGACUCAACACGGGAAAUCUCACCAGGCCCGGACACUGGAAGGAUUGACAGAUUGAUAGCUCUUUCUUGAUUCGGUGGGUGGUGGUGCAUGCCCGUUCUU
RNAcentral lists this ribosomal RNA (980 nucleotides) under Copepoda environmental sample. Its description in RNAcentral is "SSU rRNA". It matches the Rfam family "Eukaryotic small subunit ribosomal RNA", at positions 315 to 1295 of the family's 1831-position model. The record is from RNAcentral. Lineage: Eukaryota; Metazoa; Arthropoda; Copepoda.